AUUGAACGCUGGCGGCAGGCUUAACACAUGCAAGUCGAGCGGGGGAAGGUAGCUUGCUACUGGACCUAGCGGCGGACGGGUGAGUAAUGCUUAGGAAUCUGCCUAUUAGUGGGGGACAACAUCUCGAAAGGGAUGCUAAUACCGCAUACGUCCUACGGGAGAAAGCAGGGGAUCUUCGGACCUUGCGCUAAUAGAUGAGCCUAAGUCGGAUUAGCUAGUUGGUGGGGUAAAGGCCUACCAAGGCGACGAUCUGUAGCGGGUCUGAGAGGAUGAUCCGCCACACUGGGACUGAGACACGGCCCAGACUCCUACGGGAGGCAGCAGUGGGGAAUAUUGGACAAUGGGGGGAACCCUGAUCCAGCCAUGCCGCGUGUGUGAAGAAGGCCUUAUGGUUGUAAAGCACUUUAAGCGAGGAGGAGGCUACUUUAGUUAAUACCUAGGGAUAGUGGACGUUACUCGCAGGAUAAGCACCGGCUAACUCUGUGCCAGCCGCCGCCGUAA
This 501-nucleotide ribosomal RNA is filed under the name uncultured bacterium. RNAcentral's name for it is "partial 16S ribosomal RNA". It matches the Rfam family "Bacterial small subunit ribosomal RNA", at positions 30 to 523 of the family's 1533-position model. The record is from RNAcentral.